UACGUAGGGGGCAAGCGUUGUCCGGAUUUAUUGAGCGUAAAGAGCGUGUAGGCGGUUAGGUAGGUCCGUUGUGAAAACUCGAGGCUCAACCUCGAGACGCCGAUGGAAACCAUCUAACUAGAGUCCGGAAGAGGAGAGUGGAAUUCCUGGUGUAGCGGUGAAAUGCGCAGAUAUCAGGAAGAACACCCGUGGCUAAGGCGGCUCUCUAGUACGGUACUGGCGCUGAGACGCGAAAGCGUGGGGAGCGAACAGG
RNAcentral lists this ribosomal RNA (253 nucleotides) under uncultured bacterium. Its description in RNAcentral is "partial 16S ribosomal RNA". It matches the Rfam family "Bacterial small subunit ribosomal RNA", at positions 524 to 776 of the family's 1533-position model. The record is from RNAcentral.